GUAGGUGGCAAGCGUUGUCCGGAAUUAUUGGGCGUAAAGCGCGCGCAGGCGGGUCCUUUAAGUCUGAUGUGAAAGCCCACGGGCUCAACCGUGGAGGGUCAUUGGAAACUGGGGGACUGAGUACAGAAGAGGAAAGCGGAAUUCCAAGUGUAGCGGUGAAAUGCGUAGAGAUUUGGAGGAACACCAGUGGCGAAGGCGGCUUUCUGGUCUGUAACUGACGCUGAGGCGCGAAAGCGUGGGGAGCAAACAGGAUUAGAUACCCUGGUAGUCCACGCCGUAAACGAUGAGUGCUAAGUGUUAGGGGGUUUCCGCCCCUUAGUGCUGCAGCUAACGCAUUAAGCACUCCGCCUGGGGAGUACGGCCGCAAAGGCUG
This 373-nucleotide ribosomal RNA is filed under the name uncultured organism. Its description in RNAcentral is "partial 16S ribosomal RNA". It matches the Rfam family "Bacterial small subunit ribosomal RNA", at positions 527 to 896 of the family's 1533-position model. The record is from RNAcentral.